UGGUGGGUAGUUUGACUGGGGCGGUCUCCUCCUAAAGAGUAACGGAGGAGCACGAAGGUUGGCUAAUCCUGGUCGGACAUCAGGAGGUUAGUGCAAUGGCAUAAGCCAGCUUGACUGCGAGCGUGACGGCGCGAGCAGGUGCGAAAGCAGGUCAUAGUGAUCCGGUGGUUCUGAAUGGAAGGGCCAUCGCUCAACGGAUAAAAGGUACUCCGGGGAUAACAGGCUGAUACCGCCCAAGAGUUCAUAUCGACGGCGGUGUUUGGCACCUCGAUGUCGGCUCAUCACAUCCUGGGGCUGAAGUAGGUCCCAAGGGUAUGGCUGUUCGCCAUUUAAAGUGGUACGCGAGCUGGGUUUAGAACGUCGUGAGACAGUUCGGUCCCUAUCUGCCGUGGGCGCUGGAGAACUGAGGGGGGCUGCUCCUAGUACGAGAGGACCGGAGUGGACGCAUCACUGGUGUUCGGGUUGUCAUGCCAAUGGCACUGCCCGGUAGCUAAAUGCGGAAGAGAUAAGUGCUGAAAGCAUCUAAGCACGAAACUUGCCCCGAGAUGAGUUCUCCCUGAGACUUUGAGUCUCCUGAAGGAACGUUGAAGACGACGACGUUGAUAGGCCGGGUGUGUAAGCGCAGCGAUGCGUUGAGCUAACCGGUACUAAUGAACCGUGAGGCUUAACCUUACAACGC
RNAcentral lists this ribosomal RNA (679 nucleotides) under Salmonella enterica subsp. salamae. RNAcentral describes it as "partial 23S ribosomal RNA". It matches the Rfam family "Bacterial large subunit ribosomal RNA", at positions 2259 to 2925 of the family's 2925-position model. Lineage: Bacteria; Pseudomonadati; Pseudomonadota; Gammaproteobacteria; Enterobacterales; Enterobacteriaceae. The record is from RNAcentral.